This 732-nucleotide long non-coding RNA is filed under the name Numida meleagris (helmeted guineafowl). Its description in RNAcentral is "lncRNA (ENSNMEG00000007145.1)". Lineage: Eukaryota; Metazoa; Chordata; Aves; Galliformes; Numididae. The record is from RNAcentral.
UGCUGCAAGCAGCCCCAGGCACGACCCGGCACAGCACAGCCAAAUCCUUGCUCGACCUCCAAGCCUCGCAGAGCUGCUCAGCAGGGUCCAGGAACGAGCCAAACUGAGCCAAGCCCUACCAGUACCCAAAUACCAGUAGUGAGGGCUGCACAGUCAUAAUCCAUUGCCCAGUGAUGUCACAACUUGGGGACGCUCAUUUGGGUUGCUGAGUAGUCAGUAAGUCAAUCCAGUCACCUGCUCAAUUACUUUGGAUCCCUUGAAAUACUUAUGGCUUUAGGAGACUGUUGUUAUGUUUCCUGCAACUAUAUUUUGAUGAAAGUUAAAAAGUUACAGAGUGUUCCAGAAAAACUCCCUGCUUGCCCCUUUGCCUCCUUAGCCUGGCGACGUUCCUAUCAGAGCACUUCUGCUGUAAACUCAUAUGAUUGAGGUUUUAGUGAACACACUAUCUGAAGACAGAAAUGAUUCCUUAUAUCCAAGUGAUAGACUAUACAAGACCUGAGAUUGUAUGGAUGGAGGAUGAUUCCAUACUAUGUAAAAUACUUUGCUAUUGUGGGAUAUAGCUACAUAAUCAGAAUUUCAUGCAAUGAGAAAACAAACCUUUCCUCUGGACAUCUGUUUUUUUUAACUUCGUUGGGUUUUGUGUUCUGAAAACUACUCAUGAUUAAGCUGGAAGAUGCUAGCAGUUUGGAACAUCAACAAACUUUACAACUUAUCGGAGAGAGCAAGAGGAAC